GUGCAUGGAUGACUUUCUUUUAUAGGUAGAUGAAUCUCAAGUCAAUAAUAUGGGGAUACUAGAGCAAGAGUACGGGUGCUUGAUAGAAAUCAAGGGUAUUAAGCAUGACCAACAUGAGAAGUCACUUAGAUGGCUGCCCACUCAUCAUGACUUACUCGAUGUUGCAAUUGUGUAGAUAGUUCUUUGAUCUGUAGUGCCUCGAUUGUUCAUAAUGAGAUUACUGUAGUUUGACUGCACAAUCACUUGGUUACCUAGCCAUUUGAAAUCUUACGGUGUAUGUUGGUUGCAAUACAUUCAUUGUAGGAACAAGAUGUGCACCA
RNAcentral lists this long non-coding RNA (320 nucleotides) under Elaeis guineensis (African oil palm). RNAcentral describes it as "long non-coding RNA (EGUI_LNC053854)". The record is from RNAcentral. Lineage: Eukaryota; Viridiplantae; Streptophyta; Magnoliopsida; Arecales; Arecaceae.